AGUCACAUCAGCACCCUCUUAGAGUCUUGUGGCAAUAGUGUGUAAGUAAUUUUCAGGUAAUAAGUCAUAUUCAAUGGUUUGGAUUAUCGAUGUAGAACUCAUAUUAUAAAGUUUUGAUCUGAUCGGAUCUAAGUUCAAAUCCAAUCUAUCUUAUUUUAGUUUGACUCCCUCUUUCUCUCUCUCUCUGUAUAUAUAUAUAAUAUGUCUGUAUAUAUAUUUAUGUGUUUGUGUCCUCUAUUAGACAUA
This 246-nucleotide long non-coding RNA is filed under the name Elaeis guineensis (African oil palm). Its description in RNAcentral is "long non-coding RNA (EGUI_LNC066877)". Lineage: Eukaryota; Viridiplantae; Streptophyta; Magnoliopsida; Arecales; Arecaceae. The record is from RNAcentral.